GACGAACGCUGGCGGUGUGCUUCACACCUGCAAGUCGAACGAGGUAGCAAUACCUAGUGGCGGACGGGUGAGUAACGCGUGGGAAUCUGCCUUUAGAUGGGGGAUAACGGGUCGAAAGACUCGCUAAUACCGCAUAUGACGAAAGUUGAAAGGAGUAAUCCGUCUAAAGAUGAGCCCGCGUCCGAUUAGCUAGUUGGUAGAGUAAAAGCCUACCAAGGCGACGAUCGGUAGCUGGUCUGAGAGGAUGAUCAGCCACAAUGGGACUAGAGACACGGCCCAUAC
RNAcentral lists this ribosomal RNA (282 nucleotides) under uncultured bacterium. RNAcentral's name for it is "partial 16S ribosomal RNA". It matches the Rfam family "Bacterial small subunit ribosomal RNA", at positions 28 to 336 of the family's 1533-position model. The record is from RNAcentral.